Molecule: long non-coding RNA, 1066 nt
Organism: Spinacia oleracea (spinach)
Lineage: Eukaryota; Viridiplantae; Streptophyta; Magnoliopsida; Caryophyllales; Amaranthaceae
Exons: 3
Source: RefSeq, a predicted model, not a curated record
UGAACCAGAGGAAGAAGAAGCUGAGUUCUUCCUUCCUUCUUCUUUUCCCUCAAUCUCAUCUACAUUCAUUUGCAAAGUUCAAAUUGAACUCUUUCUCUUCUUUCUUUACAAACACAACAAUCAGAGACCAAUUUCCUCAACCAAAAAUCAAAAUCAAAAACUCAAUUUCACUCCCUUUAUUUUCCUGUGAUUCGGACCAUCACCCACCACCACCACCACAAACACCAACUGCCACCACCUCAACCACCACUGCCCCCACUGUCUACCUCCGUCCAACACCACUCGACCACCACAAUCACCAAUUCACCACCGCAUACCCACCGUACCCCCCCUUCUCCCUCUUCUCCCCCUCGCGGUCCCCCGCCCCUCCCCUGUUUCCUCCCCCUUCUCUGCCUCGCUGCACCACCACCGUCACGCCCCACCACCUUCAGUCACCUCCACCCUCGCCGCCGAGUCGUCCCCUCCCUUCGCCCAGAACCACCACACCAAGAAUCCCCUGCUUCCUUUUUUUUUUUCGCACGACCUUUUCCUCUCUUGCCUCGCCGUAUCGCCGCGGAAAAUCACCCACCCUAACUGCCGCCUUUACCGGCUCGGGGUUGCGACGCCAAACCACCGAGUCGGCCAGCCGGCCACCUUCCUUCCUCCCUCUUCUCUUCUUCUCCUCUUCGAGCAUCCCCUGCUCGUGCCUCCCUGUUCCAGACCAAACCAAAAAUCAAAGUUUUAUUUUAAAACUUUGAUUCCCUUCCAACCCAUAUUAAAGUUGGGCCAUUCAUCACUUUGGGCCUUUGGAAAUUGGACUCGGAGCUCAGGACGAACGAACCAAGGAAAAUCCUUAGCAAGAUCGCGGAGCUGAGGUACCGCGGGGAACGAUGGAAACGAUUAGUGGCGAGGAAAUUUACUAUAAUAAUGUUCACUUAGUUUAUGCUUAAUGUUGUGAUAGUUUAAUUAAAGAAUUUUAGUAAGUUAUGUACUUUUAUUUUGAGGACUAUUAUAUUAUUUUGGGAGUUCUAAUAGAUUAUGAAUGAUGGUUGCCUUGUAAUUCCCAAGAGGGAGUUACGGCGUGUAA